Molecule: ribosomal RNA, 1431 nt
Filed under: metagenome
Description: bacterial SSU rRNA
Rfam family: Bacterial small subunit ribosomal RNA
Source: RNAcentral
AGAGAUAUAUAAUGGAGACUUCGGUCGAAGUUAUAUAUUGAAAGCGGCGGACGGGUGAGUAACGCGUGGGUAACCUGCCCUAUACAGGGGGAUAACAACGAGAAAUCGUUGCUAAUACCGCAUAAGCGCACAGUAUCACAUGAUACAGUGUGAAAAACUCCGGUGGUAUAGGAUGGACCCGCGUCUGAUUAGCUAGUUGGUAAGGUAAGGGCUUACCAAGGCGACGAUCAGUAGCCGACCUGAGAGGGUGAUCGGCCACAUUGGGACUGAGACACGGCCCAAACUCCUACGGGAGGCAGCAGUGGGGAAUAUUGCACAAUGGGGGAAACCCUGAUGCAGCAACGCCGCGUGAAGGAAGAAUGUCUUCGGAUUGUAAACUUCUAUCAGCAGGGAAGAAAAUGACGGUACCUGACUAAGAAGCCCCGGCUAACUACGUGCCAGCAGCCGCGGUAAUACGUAGGGGGCAAGCGUUAUCCGGAAUUACUGGGUGUAAAGGGUGCGUAGGCGGCAACGCAAGUCAGAUGUGAAAGCCCGAUGCUCAACAUCGGGACUGCAUUUGAAACUGCGUAGCUAGAGUGCAGGAGAGGUAAGUGGAAUUCCUAGUGUAGCGGUGAAAUGCGUAGAUAUUAGGAAGAACACCAGUGGCGAAGGCGGCUUACUGGACUGUAACUGACGCUGAGGCACGAAAGCGUGGGGAGCGAACAGGAUUAGAUACCCUGGUAGUCCACGCUGUAAACGAUGAGUGCUAGGUGUCGGGGGUCGACAGACCUUCGGUGCCGACGUUAACACAUUAAGCACUCCACCUGGGGAGUACGAUCGCAAGAUUGAAACUCAAAGGAAUUGACGGGGGCCCGCACAAGCGGUGGAGCAUGUGGUUUAAUUCGAAGCAACGCGAAGAGCCUUACCAAGUCUUGACAUCUAACUGACCGCUCCGUAACGGGAGAAUUCCCUUCGGGGACAGUUAAGACAGGUGGUGCAUGGUUGUCGUCAGCUCGUGUCGUGAGAUGUUGGGUUAAGUCCCGCAACGAGCGCAACCCUUAUCUCUAGUAGCCAGCACUUCGGGUGGGGACUCUAGAGAGACUGCCGGGGAUAACUCGGAGGAAGGUGGGGAUGACGUCAAAUCAUCAUGCCCCUUAUGACUUGGGCUACACACGUGCUACAAUGGUGGUGACAAAGGGAAGCGAAAGGGUGACCUUAAGCAAACCUCAAAAAAGCCAUCUCAGUUCGGAUUGUAGUCUGCAACUCGACUACAUGAAGCUGGAAUCGCUAGUAUCGCGAAUCAGAAUGUCGCGGUGAAUACGUUCCCGGGCCUUGUACACACCGCCCGUCACACCAUGGGAGUCGGAAGCGCCCGAAGCCGGUGACUAAACCCGAAAGGGAUAGAGCCGUCGAAGGUGAAGUCGAUGACUGGGGUGAAGUCGGAACAAGGUA